UUAAAAAUUGAACAAAGAACUUGAAAAGACAUUUCUCCAAAGAAGACCUACAAAUGGGCCAACAGAUAUGUGAAAAACGCUCAGCAUUACUAAUCAUCAAGGAAAUGCAAAUCAAGACCAUUAGAUAUUACCUCACAUGUUAGGAUGGCUAUUUAAAAACAAAACAAAACACAAGUGUUGGCAAGGAU
Molecule: long non-coding RNA, 188 nt
Organism: Lynx canadensis (Canada lynx)
Lineage: Eukaryota; Metazoa; Chordata; Mammalia; Carnivora; Felidae
Exons: 3
Source: RefSeq, a predicted model, not a curated record